This 254-nucleotide ribosomal RNA is filed under the name uncultured bacterium. Its description in RNAcentral is "partial 16S ribosomal RNA". It matches the Rfam family "Bacterial small subunit ribosomal RNA", at positions 524 to 776 of the family's 1533-position model. The record is from RNAcentral.
UACGUAGGGUGCAAGCGUUAAUCGGAAUUACUGGGCGUAAAGCGUGCGCAGGCGGUUUUGUAAGUCUGACGUGAAAUCCCCGGGCUCAACCUGGGAAUUGCGAUGAAGACUGCAAGGCUUGAAUCUGGCAGAGGGGGGUAGAAUUCCACGUGUAGCAGUGAAAUGCGUAGAGAUGUGGAGGAACACCGAUGGCGAAGGCAGCCCCCCUGGGUCAAGAUUGACGCUCAUGCACGAAAGCGUGGGGAGCAAACAGG